UGGCAGCUGUGUUUCUGUGUGUAUC
RNAcentral lists this unclassified non-coding RNA (25 nucleotides) under Mus musculus (house mouse). Its description in RNAcentral is "oocyte_clustered_small_RNA8476". The record is from RNAcentral. Lineage: Eukaryota; Metazoa; Chordata; Mammalia; Rodentia; Muridae.